ACACCCUCUUUCCCUACCGCC
RNAcentral lists this microRNA (21 nucleotides) under Homo sapiens (human). Its description in RNAcentral is "hsa-miR-6865-3p". The record is from miRBase by way of RNAcentral. Lineage: Eukaryota; Metazoa; Chordata; Mammalia; Primates; Hominidae.